GCCAGGCACAGUGGUGUAUGCCUGUAAUCCCAGUGGCUUGGGAGGCUGAGGCAGGAGGAUCACAAGUUCAAAGCCAGCCUCAG
This 83-nucleotide small RNA is filed under the name Marmota monax (woodchuck). Lineage: Eukaryota; Metazoa; Chordata; Mammalia; Rodentia; Sciuridae. The record is from RNAcentral.